This 644-nucleotide long non-coding RNA is filed under the name Pelobates cultripes (western spadefoot toad). The record is from RNAcentral. Lineage: Eukaryota; Metazoa; Chordata; Amphibia; Anura; Pelobatidae.
GGGAUGUAUGAUUGUUUAUAUGAUGAGCCCUUUAUUUUCAUAUUGGGACAAAAAGUCACUUCAUUCAAAACGUCAAACACCACAUUCUUUCUGCCCUGAGUGUUUGUUGCAGAGAACUUAUGUUGUAAAUUUAGAUGAUUAUGAAUUAGAGAGCAAAAUUUAUAUUUUCAGCGUUCCAACACAUGCUUCAUAUUGUGCUGUAAGCUAACUUGUAGUAUUCCAGUAUGUCACAUGUUGUAUGUGCUUUAAAUUGUAUGUAUUCUGUAAAUUAUUGUAUGGGGUUGCUGAGAUUUUAUUGCUUGCGACCCAAACUGUGAAGAAGUGGGUUUGAAAUUUUGGUCAUGGAAUGUAGGAUCAGAAAACCAUGGACAAAGGUUUUAACCUGUGUUGAUAUGACUUUUGGAAACUCAAAUUGACCGGUCAAAAUUUUGCCAUGCCUUUAACAUGGAGUAGUAUAAAUAUUUUGAGUCUUUGAGAGUUCUGACAAAUGCAGGUGAUACCAUGUCUGUGUAAUCUGGUCCAAAUGUUCUAUAAGCGUAUAAGAGAGAAAUUCCAUUGACAGGUUUCAUAUGUUGCAACUGGUUAAUGCAAGUGUUAUACAAAUGUUUAAGUCAAACGCGUUAUAUGGCCGUACGGGAUCCCUU